This 497-nucleotide ribosomal RNA is filed under the name uncultured bacterium. RNAcentral's name for it is "partial 16S ribosomal RNA". It matches the Rfam family "Bacterial small subunit ribosomal RNA", at positions 28 to 507 of the family's 1533-position model. The record is from RNAcentral.
GAUGAACGCUGGCGGCGUGCCUAAUACAUGCAAGUCGAGCGAACAGACGAGGAGCUUGCUCCUCUGACGUUAGCGGCGGACGGGUGAGUAACACGUGGAUAACCUACCUAUAAGACUGGGAUAACUUCGGGAAACCGGAGCUAAUACCGGAUAAUAUAUUGAACCGCAUGGUUCAAUAGUGAAAGACGGUUUUGCUGUCACUUAUAGAUGGAUCCGCGCCGCAUUAGCUAGUUGGUAAGGUAACGGCUUACCAAGGCAACGAUGCGUAGCCGACCUGAGAGGGUGAUCGGCCACACGGGAACUGAGACACGGUCCAGACUCCUACGGGAGGCAGCAGUAGGGAAUCUUCCGCAGUGGGCGGAAGCCUGACGGAGCGACGCCGCGUGAGUGAUGAAGGUCUUCGGAUCGUAAAACUCUGUUAUUAGGGAAGAACAAAUGUGUAAGUAACUAUGCACGUCUUGACGGUACCGAAUAAGAAAGCCACGGCUAACUACGUG